Molecule: unclassified non-coding RNA, 226 nt
Filed under: Hevea brasiliensis (rubber tree)
Lineage: Eukaryota; Viridiplantae; Streptophyta; Magnoliopsida; Malpighiales; Euphorbiaceae
Source: RNAcentral
CAUUGAAGAAAUUCCACGGAGCAAGAGGAUCCAUCACAAACUCGCCGUCUAAAUAAGAAGUACAUCGAACACUACAACUAUAUAACACGGAUUAUAUGGGAAUCUAAUAGUGAACUGAUGUUAUGCUACUGGUGAGAGAUCCACUCCAGAAUACUCAAUUAAUGAAGCCCCUAGGUAUGCUAUGCUAACAAUUAGCAAUAACAACUUGGUGCAGACCCCAAAAAAG